AAAAAUGGUGUCAACAGCUUGGCGACUCCACUGGGGACUUUAAAUAAGAGAGUCAAGCCACGAGUUGAUUGCUUUUUGUCUUUGUGUCAAAAAUUGAAAACUUGAUUUAAAGAUACGGUCCUUUUAUUACAUUUCAUUUGCCUUUAUUUUGGCUUUUAUUAUUUGUUUAUAAUUACUGCUUUGUUUAGAGUUUAGGUGUAUAUUUCUGCACAUUCCAUUGCAUGACCGUUGGUCACACCUUUUAAGUGGGAGUGAGAAACUACGCCUUCGUGAGGUUUUCACCUCCGCAUGGGAUAGUGAAUCGCUUCCGGGAUACAUCCGUACCUAUGUCUUCGUAAGAUUUUCAUCUCCGCAUGGCCAUAGAGAAAUGUAUCCCCCUGAACCGAACUCGGUCCGCAUGAGCCUAUAAUGGGUGAGGAUCGAGGAAUCUGCUGGUUCGGGCACCCUUACUUUAGAACCAAACCUCAUGUAGUGAACCUUAGGAGCCCACCCUAGGUAGAACCACUUCGAACCCCUAGUAUUCACCCAAAUAGGUGUUCUAUUUAUUCUUGCUUGCUUUUGCUUUGUACUAACCUGUUUUCUUUUUGUUAUGAUUGCAUUGCAUUUUCAUCAUAAAAAGAGGUGUUGAUUCACGUUCAGUUGUUAAAUAGAGAGCUUGUCAUAAGGAAAUGGGUUUCUUGAUAAAGUGGAUAAUA
This 695-nucleotide long non-coding RNA is filed under the name Gossypium barbadense (sea-island cotton). Its description in RNAcentral is "long non-coding RNA (GBAR_LNC015073)". The record is from RNAcentral. Lineage: Eukaryota; Viridiplantae; Streptophyta; Magnoliopsida; Malvales; Malvaceae.